UUCCCUCCGAAGUUUCCCUUAGGAUAGCUGGAGCCCGCGGGCGAGUUCUAUCGGGUAAAGCCAAUGAUUAGAGGCAUCGGGGGCGCAACGCCCUCGACCUAUUCUCAAACUUUAAAUAGGUAGGACGGUGCGACUGCUCUGUUGAGCCGUGCCACGGAAUCGAGAGCUCCAAGUGGGCCAUUUUUGGUAAGCAGAACUGGCGAUGCGGGAUGAACCGGAAGCUGGGUUACAGUCCCCAACCGCGCGCUAACCUAGACCCCACAAAGGGUGUUGGUCGAUUAAGACAGCAAGACGGUGGUCAUGGCAGUCGAAAUCCGCUAAGGAGUGUGUAACAACUCACAUGCCGAAUCAACUAGCCCCGAAAAUGGAUGGCGCUAAAGCGCGCGACCUAUACCCGGCCGUCGGGGCAAGUACCAAGCCCCGAUGAGUAGGAGGGCGCGGCGGUCGCUGUAAAACCAAGGGCGUUAGCUCGGGCGGAGCGGCCGUCGGUG
RNAcentral lists this non-coding RNA (491 nucleotides) under Phaseolus vulgaris (common bean). Its description in RNAcentral is "rRNA LSU_rRNA_eukarya". It matches the Rfam family "Eukaryotic large subunit ribosomal RNA", at positions 955 to 1444 of the family's 3401-position model. Lineage: Eukaryota; Viridiplantae; Streptophyta; Magnoliopsida; Fabales; Fabaceae. The record is from RNAcentral.